GACAGAGGGUGCAAACGUUGCUCGGAAUCACUGGGCGUAAAGGGCGUGUAGGCGGGAAUGUAAGUCGGGCGUGAAAUCCCUAGGCUCAACCUAGGAACUGCACUCGAAACUGCGUUUCUUGAGUAUCGGAGAGGAAAGCGGAAUACCUGGUGUAGAGGUGAAAUUCGUAGAUAUCAGGUGGAACACCAGUGGCGAAGGCGGCUUUCUGGACGAUAACUGGCGCUGAGACGCGAAAGCGUGGGGAGCAAACAGG
RNAcentral lists this ribosomal RNA (253 nucleotides) under uncultured bacterium. RNAcentral describes it as "partial 16S ribosomal RNA". It matches the Rfam family "Bacterial small subunit ribosomal RNA", at positions 524 to 776 of the family's 1533-position model. The record is from RNAcentral.